GACGAACGCUGGCGGCGUGCUUAACACAUGCAAGUCGAACGGAAAGGCCUGUCCUUCCUUGUGUUGGACGGGUACUCGAGUGGCGAACGGGUGAGUAACACGUGAGUGAUCUGCCCCCAACUUGGGUAUAAGCCUGGGAAACUGGGUCUAAUUCCCGAUAGGACUGCAGGGUGGUGCCUGUGGUGGAAAACGAUUUUCUAGUGGUUGGGGAUGAGCUCGCGGCCUAUCAGCUUGUUGGUGGGGUAAUGGCCUACCAAGGCGGCGACGGGUAGCCGGCCUGAGAGGGUGGACGGCCACAUUGAGACUGAGAUACGGCCCAGACUCCGACGGGAGGCAGCAGUGGGGAAUAGUGCACGAUGGGCGGAAGCCUGAUGCAGCGACGCCGCGUGGGGGAUGACGGCCUUCGGGUGGUAAGCUCCUUUCGGCCGCGAGGAGGCCGCCUGGUUGGGAGGGUGGUGACGGUAGUGGUAGAAGAAGCACCGGCUAACUACGUG
RNAcentral lists this ribosomal RNA (494 nucleotides) under uncultured bacterium. RNAcentral describes it as "partial 16S ribosomal RNA". It matches the Rfam family "Bacterial small subunit ribosomal RNA", at positions 28 to 507 of the family's 1533-position model. The record is from RNAcentral.